ACUGACCUUCCUGUGUGAUCCUCCCACCAGCUCUACAGCCGGACGCCUAUCAAUAAUAGACAGGAAGUCCCGCCCCGGAAGAGAGGCGCUCGGAAGGGACGGCCAGAAAGUAAGCCUGCGCUGCUGGAAAACAUGCCUCGCUAAGCCAUUACCAACUUGCGACCCCAUGGACUGUAGCCUGCUAGGCUCCUCUGUCCAUGGGAUUCUCCAAGCAAGAAUACUGGAGUGCGUUGCCAUUUCUUCUCCAAUUGACUUUAAUGGUAUAAAAAACUGCCUGCAUCCCCGGUGGGCGGCCCCCUUCCAUCUUCGCAGCCAGCAAUGACUGAGUCUUUUUGACAUCACAUCACUCCUGACACUGACCUUUCUGAUUCCCUCUUCUCCAUUUAAAGAGGAUCAUUGUGAUUACAUCGGACUCACCUGGGUGCUCCAAAAUAACUUUAUUUUCUGGUCAGUUGAUUUACAGCUUCAAUGCCAUCUACAAUCUUAAAUCUCCCUUGCCAUAUAACAUAACAUUUUUAAUUGAAUAAAUUUGAC
This is a long non-coding RNA of Cervus elaphus (red deer), 534 nucleotides long. RefSeq lists it as uncharacterized. The transcript has 3 exons. The record is from RefSeq and is a predicted model, not a curated record. NCBI's taxonomy places the organism in Eukaryota, Metazoa, Chordata, Mammalia, Artiodactyla, Cervidae.